AACGAACGCUGGCGGCAGGCCUAACACAUGCAAGUCGAACGCUCCGCAAGGGGAGUGGCGCACGGGUGAGUAACACGUGGGAACCUACCUUCUGGUACGGAACAACCAAGGGAAACUUUGGCUAAGACCGUAUACGACCUCCGGGUGAAAGAUUGAUCGCCGGAAGAGGGGCCCGCGUCCGAUUAGGUAGUUGGUGAGGUAACGGCUCACCAAGCCUUCGAUCGGUAGCUGGUCUGAGAGGAUGACCAACCACACUGGGACUGAGACACGGCCCAGACUCCUACGGGAGGCAGCAGUGGGGAAUAUUGGACAAUGGGCGCAAGCCUGAUCCAGCCAUGCCGCGUGAGUGAUGAAGGCCUGGUUGUAAGUAUCUUCACCCACCGACGAUGAUGACGGUAGUGGGAGGAAGAAGACCCCGGC
RNAcentral lists this ribosomal RNA (420 nucleotides) under uncultured bacterium. Its description in RNAcentral is "bacterial SSU rRNA". It matches the Rfam family "Bacterial small subunit ribosomal RNA", at positions 29 to 497 of the family's 1533-position model. The record is from RNAcentral.